Molecule: transfer RNA, 71 nt
Filed under: Ictidomys tridecemlineatus (thirteen-lined ground squirrel)
Lineage: Eukaryota; Metazoa; Chordata; Mammalia; Rodentia; Sciuridae
Also listed under: 1 other name
Description: Spermophilus tridecemlineatus (thirteen-lined ground squirrel) tRNA
Rfam family: tRNA
About the family: Transfer RNA (tRNA) molecules are approximately 80 nucleotides in length.
Source: Rfam by way of RNAcentral
UGAAUGUAGCUCAGUGGUAGAGUGCUUGCCUAGCAUGCGUGAGAGCCUGGGUUCUAUUCCCAGCACUGCAA